ACCUGGAGAUAGCUGGUUCUCUCCGAAAUAGCUUUAGGGCUAGCCUCAAGUGAUGAUUAUUGGAGGUAGAGCACUGUUUGGACGAGGGGCCCCUCUCGGGUUACCGAAUUCAGACAAACUCCGAAUGCCAAUUAAUUUAACUUGGGAGUCAGAACAUGGGUGAUAAGGUCCGUGUUCGAAAGGGAAACAGCCCAGACCACCAGCUAAGGUCCCAAAAUAUAUGUUAAGUGGAAAAGGAUGUGGCGUUGCCCAGACAACUAGGAUGUUGGCUUAGAAGCAGCCAUCAUUUAAAGAGUGCGUAAUAGCUCACUAGUCGAGUGACACUGCGCCGAAAAUGUACCGGGGCUAAACAUAUUACCGAAGCUGUGGAUUGUCCUUUGGACAAUGGUAGGAGAGCGUUCUAAGGGCGUUGAAGCAUGAUCGUAAGGACAUGUGGAGCGCUUAGAAGUGAGAAUGCCGGUGUGAGUAGCGAAAGACGGGUGAGAAUCCCGUCCACCGAUUGACUAAGGUUUCCAGAGGAAGGCUCGUCCGCUCUGGGUUAGUCGGGUCCUAAGCUGAGGCCGACAGGCGUAGGCGAUGGAUAACAGGUUGAUAUUCCUGUACCACCUAUAAUCGUUUUAAUCGAUGGGGGGACGCAGUAGGAUAGGCGAAGCGUGCGAUUGGAUUGCACGUCUAAGCAGUAAGGCUGAGUAUUAGGCAAAUCCGGUACUCGUUAAGGCUGAGC
This 724-nucleotide ribosomal RNA is filed under the name Staphylococcus aureus. RNAcentral's name for it is "partial 23S ribosomal RNA". It matches the Rfam family "Bacterial large subunit ribosomal RNA", at positions 837 to 1561 of the family's 2925-position model. Lineage: Bacteria; Bacillati; Bacillota; Bacilli; Caryophanales; Staphylococcaceae. The record is from RNAcentral.